AACGAACGCUGGCGGCAUGCCUAACACAUGCAAGUCGAACGAGACCAUCGGGUCUAGUGGCGCACGGGUGCGUAACGCGUGGGAACCUGCCCUUAGGUUCGGAAUAACUCCCCGAAAGGGGUGCUAAUACCGGAUAAUAUCUUCGGACCAAAGAUUUAUCGCCUUUGGAUGGGCCCGCGUUGGAUUAGCUAGUUGGUAGGGUAAAAGCCUACCAAGGCGACGAUCCAUAGCUGGUCUGAGAGGAUGAUCAGCCACACUGGGACUGAGACACGGCCCAGACUCCUACGGGAGGCAGCAGUGGGGAAUAUUGGACAAUGGGCGAAGGCCUGAUCCAGCAAUGCCGCGUGAGUGAUGAAGGCCUUAGGGUUGUAAAGCUCUUUUACCCGGGAUGAUAAUGACAGUACCGGGAGAAUAAGCUCCGGCUAACUCCGUG
RNAcentral lists this ribosomal RNA (433 nucleotides) under uncultured bacterium. RNAcentral's name for it is "partial 16S ribosomal RNA". It matches the Rfam family "Bacterial small subunit ribosomal RNA", at positions 29 to 507 of the family's 1533-position model. The record is from RNAcentral.